Molecule: long non-coding RNA, 552 nt
Filed under: Hordeum vulgare
Lineage: Eukaryota; Viridiplantae; Streptophyta; Magnoliopsida; Poales; Poaceae
Description: long non-coding RNA (HVUL_LNC001541)
Source: RNAcentral
AAUUGUGGAUUUAUGAUCAGAUUAUCUAUGAAUCUUAUUUGAGUUUCUUCUGAUCUCUUAUAUGCAUGAUUUCAUAUCCUUGUAAUUCUCUUUGACUUGUGGGUAUUUUUUGACCAACUUGAUCUAUGAUACUUGUAAUGGGAGAAGUGUUUGGCUUUGGGUUCAUACCGUGCGGUGACCUCACCCAGUGACAGAAGGGGUAGCGAGGCACGCAUCGUGUUGUUGCCAUCAAGGGUAAAAAGAUGGGUUUUAUAUGUAUUGCAUGAAUUUAUCCCUCUACAUCAUGUCAUUUUGCUUAAGGCGUUACUCUAUUUGUCAUGAACUCAAUACACUAGAUGCAUGUUGGAUAGCGGUCGAUGUGUGGAGUAAUAGUACUAGAUGCAGAAAGUAUCGGUCUACUUGUCUCGGACGUGAUGCCUAUAUGUAUGAUCAUUGCCUUAGAUAUCAUCAUGACUUUGCGCGGUUCUAUCAAUUUGUCGACAGUAAUUCGUUCACCCACCGUAAUAUUUGCUGUUUUGAGAGAAGCCUCUAGUGAACACUAUGGCCCCCGGG